Molecule: long non-coding RNA, 4074 nt
Organism: Cryptotermes secundus
Lineage: Eukaryota; Metazoa; Arthropoda; Insecta; Blattodea; Kalotermitidae
Exons: 3
Source: RefSeq, a predicted model, not a curated record
UGGAUAAAGUCCAGAAACCCAAUAUAUCAAUACAUUUUGUAGCUCAUAAAAUAAAACAUUCUAGGUCUUCAACAUAUUGUUAAUUGUGUGGAGAAUUUACCAGUUCCAUCAUUUUUAUUACUGUAAACUGGUGUAACCGUUCCACUGCUGUGCUGUCUAUUUAAAUAUUAUUUAUGCUAUUAAUUUGAAAUUUAAUUGUUGAAUGUAAGGACAUGAACAAGUGUAGUGGGACUUAGGUCAAUUCUUGUAUUUAAGAGCUACCGUCUUCCUACGCUUACACCAAAAGCAGGAAGAUACGUGUUGAAGAUUUAUUAAGGGAAAGUUACAUAAAGAAUGGCUAAAGAAGUUUUUGUGAGUUCUUUAGUUGACAAAUUUCUACAAGCUAUAUAUUUUAGCAGGGUGAUGGGUUUAGAACCCAAGCCACGCUACACAUUCAUCACUUUUUUGACAGGAGUUCGUUAAGACAGAAUUUCUUCACCCCUUUGUAAGAGUUAAAGUGAUUGGAGGAAUGUCUAAUUAGAAUACCUCUAAAUUUUAAACCGACCAAUCACGGAAAUUUGAGUGUGUGAUAGAACAAGGACGCUGGUGAAAGCCAGGAACUGAACGUCCGAGGAAGCGUCAGUUGUCAGACUCAGUCAAAAACCGGGAGUCGAAAGAAUCAGACGUGGAGUCGAAAGAACCAGACGCGAAGUCGGAAAUCGGGACUAGAAAGGACCAGAUGUGAAGUCACUUACGGGGCUAUCUAGAUGAGAAAUAACUUUAUAGUAACAAGCUGUAAUGAUAAAGUGUAAUAAUCUGUUGUGAAGUGUGAAACCACGGUUAGAAGUAUAAUAAUAAUAUUAAAACAGGAUGAGCUAAAUUUAGAAGGUAGCAAACAGUCCGACAGUAACAAGUGUUUGAUAAAUUGUAAACUGAAAGUGUCGCAACUGAUCAAGAGUAAUAAUAAUACCUCAGGAACUCAAGUGUGGUGGUGUUGCAUAAGUGUUCUACCUGCCUUUCUAAGUGUGGUCCAUUAAGACCUUGAGACAGAGAACUCAGCUCUACUGCUCCCAACAACCUUACCCUUGUUAAUCUUAUCAACCCUGAGAAACUUAAUCCUAUCAACCCUGAGAAGUUUAAUCCUAACCCUGAGAAAAUAAAUUAAGAAGAAAUAAAAAGGUAGGUGGCGUCAUCAACAAGAAGGAGAAGAAGAGGGUGAGGAGGAGCAGUGAAGAAGAGGCGCUUCUGACGAAGACGUCGCAAGUCCAGAGUACGGUUACACUGGAUUUAAGGUUCUCAUAAUGACUGAGGGGAGUGGUAAUCUGGGCUUUGAUGUCAUGUAGUUUGGAGAAGGCCUAAUGUUUCAGAGUACAAUAUCACUUCCACCUUCAUGACCAAAGGGAAGGCCAAGCAAGAAACCAGAAAGCUGUGGAUGUCAACCUAAGCUCUUCUCUUUAGCCCUGAAGAUGGAGGUGGUAUGUCCCUGCAAAUCAUUGAGCUUUUUCUAACUAUAUGCCAUUGCGACCCACAUGACUGUACUCUCAAAAUCAUAACUUGCUCAUAAAUUGGAAUGACGGUACAAAUGUUAUCAAUAUAUGCAUAUUUGUAACUAAAGAAAAUAAUGACAUUAGGCAGAAUUCUUUUUAAUGAAAUAUUGAAAAAUGUGACUCAACAGCUGUGUUCAAAUAUUGAGGGGGCUAUGAUUCCGUUCAUAAGAAUUAUCAAUUAACAUGUAUCCAAAAACAUAACCUCUUUUAAGUGGUUCACUGUUUAAUGAUACUGAAAACAAAACAUCCCUCUGCCUCUCAUAUGCAACAAUUAAAACAAACUUCUUAAUACUCAUUUGCAGUCAGGGAUGAUCCUACACUAUAGGGAGUUAAAUUAAAUUCAAUUAAAUUGCUUAAGUUGUACAGCAGUAGGAAAAUCACGUAGUAGAAGUACAUGUAUAUGUCUAUUUAAGUAAAUUAUUCAAAUUUGUAUUUGGUUUUGUGUUUGCCCAAUUGAAAAUUGUGUAAAUUCCAACAUGAAAUUAGUGUUCUGGAUACUUCCAUAUCCUUUAUGACAUCAUGACAAAUUCUCACAUGAUUAACUUAUUGCGAGAAGGUGUAUUCAAUUUAGAAAUCAUGUAAGCAUUUGGUUUUUGUUCCUCCAAGAUGGUUCAAUGACUUGUUCCAUUUUGCUGUUCUCUGAAUGUUUUUACAAGAACUUUUAUAACAUCAAGGAAAGAAAUGUACACACCAUUGAGGAAAGUAGUCUGAAGCUCCUGAAUUAUUCCUCUUAAUUACAUUUAGUUUAAAAUUUAAUAAUUUACAUGUAAGUGGACGCAUUAAUGAAGUCUCAAGUUGAGAAUAAUGCCUUCUGUGGUGUAAUAUCACUUAGUCCAGUAGAAUUUCUUGGACUUUUUUAGGAACAUAUUCCCUUGAUUUUCAAGCUUGAAGAACACAUAGUGAGCCCUGAGAUGUAGGAAGUACGAGUAUGUCCCUUUGAAACUUCAAUAAAAUUCUACCAAACUACAUGGCACUACAUCUAAGGAGAUAGUACUCUUCAUAGUUACUGCUGUGAGAACCUUAAGGCCAACACAAAUCAGAAGUGUUUGUCACAUUAUUUCCAAAAUCAUUUCCAGUGUCCAGUUAGUGAAAGGAGGACUAUGUUAUCUGUAUUUAUAUGAAGAUGGGAUUUCCACAUCUGAGUCAAGUCUUAAAAUUAUUUAUAAGUAAUGUAUAAAUUCUUUGUAACCAUUUAGAUAAUUUGGUAUCAAUUUGGUUACAGUUCUGCAGUACACAAGUAACAGAUUUUUCUUUUAUAGAGAUGUUCAUGAGAAUCUUUCAUAUUUAAUAAUGAAGUAAAAUUAAACUGAUGUUACUACUGUUUAGUAAAUUAUUUUAUAAUAUCAUUAAUUCAAAUCAAAAUAUACAAGAGUCAGUUAAUUUAUUUGGAAUUAUUUUUAGAAUCUUUUUCACUACUUCAUAAAGUGCUCGUAUAUGAUAUAGAUUUCUCAGUGUCUUAACUCAUAUUUUCUUUUAAAGAAAUUGUGAUGACCUAGUUCAUGUAAAUUAAAUUGCUUGGGGAUCAGACUUUAUAUGUUUCCAUCAUAACUGAAGAAGAAAUAAAAGAAAAUGUUCUACAUAUUAAGAAAAUAUUUCUUGACAAAUUUUUAUUAUGCACAAGAGGCAAAGAAUUACGUGUAUUCAGCUUUCAAGAUUAUGUGAAAGUGUUCUUGAGAACUGUGGAAAGCGAAGUGUUAAAUAAUAAAUUUGAUCAAUUCAAAACUUGAUGUCCUAAUGUGGAGAGGUUAUGGAUAAAAAUAAACUAUAGUUAAUGCCAUAUAUGGAAAAUAAUUUGGUUUCAGAGAUUUUACAACAUAACUCCUAUUGAUGGAACUAGUUUAAUCAGAAAGUGAUUUUUAGUGUUUUACAUUUUCUGCCACUUUACACUUAAAAAGUUAUGUAUUAAAUACAAUGUUUUAGUGAUUAUAUUUGUUUAAGAAGUUGUAGAAAAAAAAAACGAUAAAUACUGGAUAAUUCAAUGAAACUGCACAUAAGAGAGGAUGUUCCUCUGAAGUGUAAAAACAUGCACAAGUAGCAAUGAUGUUAAUGGAUAUGCGUAAGGUUAGUUGAAAAUUAAAUAUCAAAUAUAAUUAAAAAACUGAACAGAUAUAGCAAAUACAAGUAAUAUCUUACUGAGCUGUCCACUACUGCUGGUUCCUUAUUAUACAGAUUAAAAUUUCGAAGUUCAAGACGAAGUACUACAGCAUCCGUUAUACCUUCAACAGUCAACAUUCCAUGUGGAAAGUCUGUAUAUCCAUAUAUAACUUCAAAGCAACUAUAUAACAUGUGUGAUGGUGAUGUAUAACAGAGGCUAAAGAUGACUUUCUGGUUGUGUGUGGUUUCUUUGAUGGAAAUGAUAGAGCAGCAUUGAAGGAACACCAGUGUUGAUAUCCAAGUCAGAAGUAACGCAACAGAUAUGCCGGCGGUGGCAUUUUCGAAAAUCAGCGUUAAGCACCAAUAAAUUCAAAUUAAAGUCUGAAAGAAACAAUUUACCUGGCUCCACGGUGAUCACCAUUCCUGGUUCAAGAGGGACACUCCGCGGGAUGAG